RNAcentral lists this non-coding RNA (22 nucleotides) under Arabidopsis thaliana (thale cress). Lineage: Eukaryota; Viridiplantae; Streptophyta; Magnoliopsida; Brassicales; Brassicaceae. RNAcentral also lists the same sequence under 1 other name. The record is from RNAcentral.
UUGUCAGGUGGGGAGUUUGGCU